This 93-nucleotide transfer RNA is filed under the name Propylenella binzhouense. Its description in RNAcentral is "tRNA-Ser". It matches the Rfam family "tRNA". Rfam says of the family: Transfer RNA (tRNA) molecules are approximately 80 nucleotides in length. Lineage: Bacteria; Pseudomonadati; Pseudomonadota; Alphaproteobacteria; Hyphomicrobiales; Propylenellaceae. The record is from RNAcentral.
GGAGAGGUGGCCGAGUGGUCGAAGGCGCUCCCCUGCUAAGGGAGUAGACGGCCAAAAACCGUCUCGUGGGUUCGAAUCCCAUCCUCUCCGCCA